Molecule: long non-coding RNA, 399 nt
Filed under: Homo sapiens (human)
Lineage: Eukaryota; Metazoa; Chordata; Mammalia; Primates; Hominidae
Description: non-protein coding lnc-LMF2-2:1
Source: RNAcentral
CCACCGCAUAGCCCUUCUGCUGCCACGGAGUGCUCUGCGGCCUGCCCUGCCCUGGCAGAGAGGCCCACACCAGGAUGGCUCUUCCCACUUUCCUGCGAUCAGGGACUUGGGGCUGACCCCUGCUGUCUCCAGGCUCCCUGGGGGCUUGGUGGAACCCUCUGACCUGUAGGCACCCCCAAGCUGGGCACGCCCAGGCCUGGGGCUAGGCCUGAGCCUUCUCUCUGCUGUGCCCUCAGUUCCCAGCCCCAGAGCCAGGGUCACCACGCUGUCCAACCCCAUGGCGGCCUCGGCCUCCAGACGGACCGCACCCCGAGGUAAGUGGGGCAGUGUCCGGACCAGUGGACGCAGCAGUGGCCUUGGCACCGAUGUGGGCUCCCGGCUAGCUGGCAGAGACGCGCU